GUGUCAGCAGCCGCGGUAAUACGUAGGGACCAAGCGUUGUUCGGAUUUACUGGGCGUAAAGGGCGCGUAGGCGGCAUUGUUAGUCACUUGUGAAAUCUCCGGGCUUAACUCGGAACGGCCAAGUGAUACUGCAGUGCUAGAGUGCGGAAGGGGCAAUCGGAAUUCUCGGUGUAGCGGUGAAAUGCGUAGAUAUCGAGAGGAACACCUGAGGUGAAGACGGGUUGCUGGGCCGACACUGACGCUGAGGCGCGAAAGCCAGGGGAGCAAACGGGAUUAGAUACCCCGGUAGUCCUGGCCCUAAACGAUGAAUACUUGGUGUCUGGAGUUAUUAGUGCUCCGGGUGCCGUCGCUAACGUUUUUAGUAUUCCGCCUGGGGAGUACGCUCGCAAGAGUGAA
Molecule: ribosomal RNA, 396 nt
Filed under: uncultured bacterium
Lineage: Bacteria
Description: bacterial SSU rRNA
Rfam family: Bacterial small subunit ribosomal RNA
Source: RNAcentral